UACGGAGGGUGCAAGCAUUGAUCGGAAUUACUGGGCGUAAAGGGCGCGUAGGCGGUUCAGAAAGUCAGAUGUGAAAUUCCGGGGCUCAACCCCGGAGCUGCAUUUGAAACUCCUGAACUAGAGUUCAGUUAGGGUAAACGGAAUUCCACGUGUAGCGGUGAAAUGCGUAGAUAUGUGGAAGAACACCGGUGGUGAAGACGGUUUACUGGGCUGAUACAGACGCUGAGGCGCGAAAGCAUGGGGAGCAAACAGG
This 253-nucleotide ribosomal RNA is filed under the name uncultured bacterium. Its description in RNAcentral is "partial 16S ribosomal RNA". It matches the Rfam family "Bacterial small subunit ribosomal RNA", at positions 524 to 776 of the family's 1533-position model. The record is from RNAcentral.